UACGGAGGAUGCGAGCGUUAUCCGGAUUUAUUGGGUUUAAAGGGCGCGCAGGCGGCACGGCAAGCCGGCGGUCAAAUCGCGGGGCUCAACCCCGCCCAGCCGUCGGAACUGCCGGGCUAGAGUGGGCGAGAAGUGCGCGGAAUGCGUGGUGUAGCGGUGAAAUGCAUAGAUAUCACGCAGAACUCCGAUUGCGAAGGCAGCGCACCGGCGCCCUACUGACGCUCAGGCACGAAAGCGUGGGUAUCGAACAGG
Molecule: ribosomal RNA, 252 nt
Filed under: uncultured bacterium
Lineage: Bacteria
Description: partial 16S ribosomal RNA
Rfam family: Bacterial small subunit ribosomal RNA
Source: RNAcentral